UUAGAUGGUUCAAGUACUUCGUUGUUAAUGCCUGUAAAUAAGCCCCGCCCCACGUGUAAUUUUCGAGAACAAAAUUUUUAAGACUUUUUUGGGCUCACUACCUGCGAAAGUGCUGCACCAGGCAGAGAUUUCAUGCACUACAACGCUAUCUCUCUAGACUUCCGCUUGGUGCUGCACUUUUGAAGGGAGUAACAUAGUCUCCAAGUCUCAGGUUCAACCUUGGAUUUAUUUAGCGGUCGCCUGUUAGGUCCGGGGUUGGACCUGAGCCGUUUGCCUUAACUAUUGGUAAUCGAGUCUCCAAUCGAUUUUUCGAGGCAGCUGUCAAGAACCAGGGCAGCCAUGCUAAUUUAUUCCUUCGUUGUUUCUCGUUUUACAUCUGUGAUUUUUUUGCAGCAAAACAGCUAAGGUUAGGUGGUGUAGACAGUUAGCAAAUUGGUAGAAGGGAUGGAUGAAAAAGGGGCUUAAAAUUCGUCGGUUUCGACUGUUAAAGAAUUGCGAGCAAGCUUGAAUUCUGAAAGGAAAGCAUAAAGUGAUGUUCAUAGGAGAAGAAAUAUACGAUCUACUAAUCGAGCUUCAAACCUAAGACCAACUGUGGAGUAAAAACAGAACUUCAUUUCACCAGUCAAUCUUAGAAAGUUUGCCAGUAUGUAAUGAAGCAGCAUGUUCGAACUGCCGCAGAGUAGGCUCAACCCCAGUUAAAUGUCAAACUUGCAGAACCCACCUAUGUGCUGCAUAUGACAAAGUUGUUCACAGAAAGACUGUUACACACCAGCGAGUAUGUGAAGUGAAUGACAGUUUUCAUCAAAUGUUUCCAACUGAAUUUCUUAAUAAUGUGGAUUCCUUGGAGACAAUAACGUGAGGAUCUUGCAAUUCAAUCGGUUCUGUAAGACUCCACGCAGGUACCGUCGCCGAAGACUAUGAUCUUAUUGAUGAUUGGAUGCUAAGCCUGAAUUAUGUAGAAGCUAUCGAGCUCAAUAAAAUUGAAAUAGCAAUGUU
RNAcentral lists this unclassified non-coding RNA (996 nucleotides) under Daphnia magna. RNAcentral's name for it is "uncharacterized LOC116936153, transcript variant X1". Lineage: Eukaryota; Metazoa; Arthropoda; Branchiopoda; Diplostraca; Daphniidae. The record is from RNAcentral.